GCCUGGCACGGUGGUGCGUGCUUGUAGUCCCAGCUACUCUGGAGGCUGAGGCUGGAGGAUCACUUGGGCCCAGGAGUUCCGGGCUGUCAUGCGCUAUGCCGAUCGGGUGUCCGCACUAAGUCUGGCAUCAAUAUGGUGACCUUCUGGGAGCGGAAGACCACCAGGUUGCCUAAGGAGGGGUGAACUGGCCCAGGUCGGAAACAGAGCAGGUCAAAACUCCCGUGCUAAUCAGUAGUGGGAUGGUGCCUAUGAAUAGCCACUGCACUCCAGCCUGGGCAACAUAGUGAGAUCCCAUCUCU
This 299-nucleotide signal recognition particle RNA is filed under the name Aotus nancymaae (Ma's night monkey). RNAcentral's name for it is "Metazoan signal recognition particle RNA (ENSANAG00000005189.1)". It matches the Rfam family "Metazoan signal recognition particle RNA". From Rfam's summary of the family: The signal recognition particle (SRP) is a universally conserved ribonucleoprotein. It is involved in the co-translational targeting of proteins to membranes. The eukaryotic SRP consists of a 300-nucleotide 7S RNA and six proteins: SRPs 72, 68, 54, 19, 14, and 9. Lineage: Eukaryota; Metazoa; Chordata; Mammalia; Primates; Aotidae. The record is from RNAcentral.